Molecule: transfer RNA, 74 nt
Filed under: Thermoplasmata archaeon HGW-Thermoplasmata-1
Lineage: Archaea; Methanobacteriati; Thermoplasmatota; Thermoplasmata
Description: tRNA-His
Rfam family: tRNA
About the family: Transfer RNA (tRNA) molecules are approximately 80 nucleotides in length. Their secondary structure includes four short double-helical elements and three loops (D, anti-codon, and T loops).
Source: RNAcentral
GCCCGGGUAGUGUAGCCUGGUUAGCAUCAGGGAUUGUGGAUCCCUUAGCCCGAGUUCAAAUCUCGGCCCGGGCC